RNAcentral lists this ribosomal RNA (255 nucleotides) under uncultured bacterium. RNAcentral's name for it is "partial 16S ribosomal RNA". It matches the Rfam family "Bacterial small subunit ribosomal RNA", at positions 524 to 776 of the family's 1533-position model. The record is from RNAcentral.
UACAGAGGUCCCGAGCGUUGUUCGGAUUCACUGGGCGUAAAGGGUGCGUAGGUGGCUUGACAAGUUUGAUGUGAAAUCUCCGGGCUUAACCCGGAAAAUGCAUUGAAUACUGUAGAGGCUUGAGGUUUGGAGGGGGGACUGGAAUUCGUCGGUGUAGCAGUGAAAUGCGUAGAUAUCGAGAGGAACACCAGUGGCGAAGGCGAGUCCCUGGACAACACCUGACACUGAGGCACGAAAGCCGGGGGAGCAAACAGG